GAGAGUGUAGCUCAGUUGGUAGAGCAUUCGACUUUUAAUCGAAUGGUCCUGGGUUCGAGUCCCAGCACUCUCA
RNAcentral lists this transfer RNA (73 nucleotides) under Neorhodopirellula lusitana. RNAcentral describes it as "Rhodopirellula lusitana tRNA_Lys_TTT". It matches the Rfam family "tRNA". Rfam says of the family: Transfer RNA (tRNA) molecules are approximately 80 nucleotides in length. Their secondary structure includes four short double-helical elements and three loops (D, anti-codon, and T loops). Further hydrogen bonds mediate the characteristic L-shaped molecular structure. tRNAs have two regions of fundamental functional importance: the anti-codon, which is responsible for specific mRNA codon recognition, and the 3' end, to which the tRNAs corresponding amino acid is attached (by aminoacyl-tRNA synthetases). tRNAs cope with the degeneracy of the genetic code in two manners: having more than one tRNA (with a specific anti-codon) for a particular amino acid; and 'wobble' base-pairing, i.e. permitting non-standard base-pairing at the 3rd anti-codon position. The record is from RNAcentral. RNAcentral also lists the same sequence under 3 other names. Lineage: Bacteria; Pseudomonadati; Planctomycetota; Planctomycetia; Pirellulales; Pirellulaceae.